GCAGCUCAGUCAGUAGAGCAUGAGACUCUUAAUCUCAAGGUUGUGGUUUCAAACCCCACAUUGGGCA
This is a non-coding RNA of Podarcis lilfordi (Lilford's wall lizard), 67 nucleotides long. The record is from the annotation of a GenBank genome assembly. NCBI's taxonomy places the organism in Eukaryota, Metazoa, Chordata, Lepidosauria, Squamata, Lacertidae.